ACGAUGAAGAGUUUGAUCCUGGCUCAGGAUGAACGCUAGCGGCAGGCUUAACACAUGCAAGUCGAGGGGUAUAGUUCUUCGGAGCUAGAGACCGGCGCACGGGUGCGUAACGCGUAUGCAAUCUGCCUUUCACAGAGGGAUAGCCCAGAGAAAUUUGGAUUAAUACCUCAUAGUAUUAUAGAGUGGCAUCACUUUAUAAUUAAAGUCACAACGGUGAAAGAUGAGCAUGCGUCCCAUUAGCUGGUUGGUAAGGUAACGGCUUACCAAGGCAACGAUGGGUAGGGGUCCUGAGAGGGAGAUCCCCCACACUGGUACUGAGACACGGACCAGACUCCUACGGGAGGCAGCAGUGAGGAAUAUUGGUCAAUGGACGCAAGUCUGAACCAGCCAUGCCGCGUGCAGGAUGACGGUCCUAUGGAUUGUAAACUGCUUUUGUACGAGAAGAAACACUCCUAUGUAUAGGAGCUUGACGGUAUCGUAAGAAUAAGGAUCGGCUAACUCCGUGCCAGCAGCCGCGGUAAUACGGAGGAUCCAAGCGUUAUCCGGAAUCAUUGGGUUUAAAGGGUCCGUAGGCGGUUUAGUAAGUCAGUGGUGAAAGCCCAUCGCUCAACGGUGGAACGGCCAUUGAUACUGCUGAACUUGAAUUACUGGGAAGUAACUAGAAUAUGUAGUGUAGCGGUGAAAUGCUUAGAUAUUACAUGGAAUACCAAUUGCGAAGGCAGGUUACUACCAGUUUAUUGACGCUGAUGGACGAAAGCGUGGGGAGCGAACAGGAUUAGAUACCCUGGUAGUCCACGCCGUAAACGAUGGAUACUAGCUGUCCGGCGCUAGCUGGGUGCCUAAGCGAAAGUGAUAAGUAUCCCACCUGGGGAGUACGAACGCAAGUUUGAAACAUCAAAGGAAUUGACGGGGGCCCGCACAAGCGGUGGAGCAUAGUGGUCUAAUUCGAUGAUACGCGAGGAACCUUACCAGGGCUUAUAAUGUAGGCCGACAGGCCAGGAAACGGGCUUCUCUUCGGACGGCUUACAAGGUGCUAGCAUGGUUGUCGUCAGCUCGAGCCGUGAGGUGUCAGGAUAAGUCCUAUAACGAGCGCAACCCCUGUCGAUAUGUUGCCAGCGAGUAAUGUCGGGUACUCUAGCGAGACUGCCAGUGCAAACUGCGAGGAAGGUGGGGAAGACGUCAAAUCAUCACGGCCCCUACGCCACUGGGCUACACACGUGCUACAAGUGGCCGCUAACAGAGAGCAGCCACCCCGACGAAUAGAUGCGAAUCUCGAAAGCCUGUCUCAGUUCGGAUUGGAGUCUGCAACUCGACUCUAUGAAGCUGGAAUCGCUAGUAAUCGCGCAUCAGCCAUGGCGCGGUGAAUACGUUCCCGGGCCUUGUACACACCGCCCGUCAAGCCAUGGAAGUUUGGGGUACCUGAAGUCGGUGACCGUAACAGGAGCUGCCUAGGGUAAAACAAGUAACUAGGGCUAAGUCGUAACAAGGUAGCCGUACCGGAAGGUGCGGCUGGAACAUCUCAUUU
Molecule: ribosomal RNA, 1525 nt
Filed under: Oryza sativa Indica Group (long-grained rice)
Lineage: Eukaryota; Viridiplantae; Streptophyta; Magnoliopsida; Poales; Poaceae
Description: Bacterial small subunit ribosomal RNA
Rfam family: Bacterial small subunit ribosomal RNA
Source: Rfam by way of RNAcentral